Molecule: long non-coding RNA, 1086 nt
Filed under: Prunus persica (peach)
Lineage: Eukaryota; Viridiplantae; Streptophyta; Magnoliopsida; Rosales; Rosaceae
Description: long non-coding RNA (PPER_LNC007360)
Source: RNAcentral
UGGGCUCUUCCUUGUGCAAGAUUGUCUCUUCCACUGACCUCACAACAAAUAAAUCUCCCCCAUUUUCAUCAGCUGCUCAUUUUUAUUUUCUUGGCAACAAUAUUUUUAUCUCUUUAUUUUUCUGCUGGGUGUGUAUUUAAGAGUAGUUUGGAAAGAUAGUGGGGUUUUCUUAGAAAUUGUGAAAAUUUGAAUUAGAAGUUGGGGUAAACUUAGAAUAUGGGAUGAACAAAGAGAAUUGGGGGGUUUAAAUAGAAAAACUCUAUAUUUAAGGACUAACGACAGUUUACCACUUCAAGGUUUAAGUGAUAUAUCGAAAUGGGCUCUGAGGUUUUAAUUUCAUCAAUUCAUACCCAAUAUUUUUAAAUUUCACCAAAUUAUGCCCUUCGUCGACCUCAUUGUUAGAUUUUGAUGUUGAUGUGUGAAAAAAAUAAUGAAAAAUAUUUUAUAUUUUAUUUAAAAAAAUCCCCUCUCUCUCUCUCUCUCUCUCUCUCUCUCUCUCUCUCUCUCUCUCUCUCUCUCUCUCUCUCUCUCUCUCUCUCUCUCUCUCUCUCUCCCCAAUAGACCCACCCCAUCCUCCGACCAUCUUCUCAAAUAUAAAAUAACCCCAAACAGCCACCAACUGGUCUCGUCUACGACAUAUGCCUAACCACCACCUUAUGCAAAAUGAGUAUAGCCACCGGGCUUUAUUGGGGUCUUUUUUUAUAAAUAGUAUAGCCGCACGGUUGUACUCUUUUUGACACGUGGCACCGAAUCACUAGGCAGGGUGCAAGGUGCUAGUCUAGUCCUCUUUUUUUUUAUAUUUUUUUUUAACAUAGUACAGUCGCAACGAUAUACUCAGGAUUUUUUAUUUUAAAAAAAUUAGUAUAUCUGCGCGGCUUUAUUGAGGUCUUUUUUUUAUUUUUUAUUUAUAAAUAGUAUAGCCGAGCGGCUAUACACUUUACAUAGACUGUGAUCUUUUUUAUUUGUUAAAUUGUUUUUUCUCGAUUUUUGUUUAUGGAUUAGAGUAGUUUAAGCAUUAUCCACUACUAUUAGGCCAUUACGCGAGUCUCUAUUGUGCCCUUUUGAGUUUUUAUUUUUCUAGAGUUA